CCUACGGGGGACUGCAGUGGGGAAUAUUGCACAAUGGGGGAAACCCUGAUGCAGCGACGCCGCGUGAAGGAAGAAGUAUUUCGGUAUGUAAACUUCUAUCAGCAGGGAAGAAAAUGACGGUACCUGACUAAGAAGCCCCGGCUAACUACGUGCCAGCAGCCGCGGUAAUACGUAGGGGGCAAGCGUUAUCCGGAUUUACUGGGUGUAAAGGGAGCGUAGGCGGCUGCGCAAGUCAGAAGUGAAAGCCCGUGGCUCAACCACGGGACUGCUUUGGAAACUGUUGAACUGGAGUGCAGGAGAGGUAAGUGGAAUUCCUAGUGUAGCGGUGAAAUGCGUAGAUAUUAGGAGGAACACCAGUGGCGAAGGCGGCUUACUGGACUGUAAAUGACGCUGAGGCUCGAAAGCGUGGGGAGCAAACAGGAUUAGAUACCCUUGUAGUC
Molecule: ribosomal RNA, 440 nt
Filed under: uncultured bacterium
Lineage: Bacteria
Description: partial 16S ribosomal RNA
Rfam family: Bacterial small subunit ribosomal RNA
Source: RNAcentral